AUUGAACGCUGGCGGCGUGCCUAACACAUGCAAGUCGAGCGGUAACAGGUGUAGCAAUACAUGCUGACGAGCGGCGGACGGGUGAGUAACGCUUGGGAAUCUGCCUGUUAGUGGGGGACAACCCGGGGAAACUCGGGCUAAUACCGCAUACGCACUACGGUGGAAAGCCGGGGACCGCAAGGCCUGGCGCUAACAGAUGAGCCCAAGUCGGAUUAGCUAGUUGGUAGGGUAACGGCCACCAAGGCGACGAUCCGUAACUGGUCUGAGAGGACGACCAGUCACACCGGAACUGAGACACGGUCCGGACUCCUACGGGAGGCAGCAGUGGGGAAUAUUGGACAAUGGCGAAAGCCUGAUCCAGCGACGCCGCGUGGGUGAAGAAGGCCUGCGGGUUGUAAAG
Molecule: ribosomal RNA, 400 nt
Filed under: uncultured bacterium
Lineage: Bacteria
Description: bacterial SSU rRNA
Rfam family: Bacterial small subunit ribosomal RNA
Source: RNAcentral